This 254-nucleotide ribosomal RNA is filed under the name uncultured bacterium. Its description in RNAcentral is "partial 16S ribosomal RNA". It matches the Rfam family "Bacterial small subunit ribosomal RNA", at positions 524 to 776 of the family's 1533-position model. The record is from RNAcentral.
UACGGAGGGUGCGAGCGUUGUCCGGAAUCACUGGGCGUAAAGGGCGCGUAGGUGGCCUGUGGAAGUCUGCGGUGAAAGCCCGGCGCUCAACGCCGGGUCGGCCGUGGAUACUCUCGGGCUCGAGCUUACUAGAGGCAGAUGGAAUUCCGGGUGUAGCGGUGGAAUGCGUAGAGAUCCGGAAGAACACCGGUGGCGAAGGUGGUCUGCUGGGGUAAUGCUGACACUGAUGCGCGACAGCGUGGGGAGCAAACAGG